UGCCUAACCCUUGUGAGCUAAAACUCCGAGGUAUGGCAGAAAAACCCCGCUACAGGAUAAAGAGCUCAUCGUCAGCUCACCUGUAGCGGGUCAUAUCCGAAAGGGUAUGGGUGACCGAAAGGUUGCC
Molecule: non-coding RNA, 127 nt
Submitted as: unclassified sequences
Source: Rfam